CCUACCAGAUGCCAGUGGUAUGGCCAGCUCUCACCUUGCCAUCCUGACUGUGCCGGACACACUCUGAGGUGGUCCCACGAUCAUCAGCUCCUGGGGGUCAUGCCUUAUGUAAUCCCCUCCCUUAAGUGUGGGUAGACCCUGUGAUCUCCUCCUAAUGAAUAAAAGAUGGCAAAGGUCAUUAUGCCACAUGAAGACAACAACGUCCACCUUGCUGGGGACUAUCUCACCUUCACUGGCUUUCAUGAAACAAGAAGCCAUGUUAAGAUGGAAGAAACAGAGGAUGGCCCCCAACAAACCCCAGCCCAGAACCAAGGCUUUCAGUCUUAGAGAUAUGGGGGAUGGAACUCCACCCAGUCUAUUUCUCAAAGACUGGGACAGGAUGAGGUAGGUAAGACGGAGCAAACAAAGCAAUCUGAAAGGCAACUCAUAACUACAGGAUGGAAGCUGGCUUCAGGUAGAGCAGCAAGCCUGUGAAUCAGCUGUAUGGGGAAGAAGUUACUGCCCCAGAAGCUCAUGGAAUGAGAGGCUCCCUUGCUAUCUACUGACAGGACCAUUCCACCUCAACGGCACCAGAGCUGGAGCAUCCAAAUGUGGCAUUUCAGAAAAAAUAGAGGCCACCAGACCCACUAUUGCCAGAGGCUUCACGGAAGAGAGACUGUGGAGCCAAGCAUGAGGACAGCAUGUGGGGAAGAAGCCAUGUGGAAGCCAUACUGCAAGUUCCAGGAGGGGAGCAGGAAAUCCGGUCUCCCUCCCCAUUGAAUUCCCAGCGCAUGGAACACGAGGUACAUAGCGAUCCCUGCUACUUCCCAUUCAUAUCCUGGGUACUCGCUCUACACCAGCCGUGUGGUCCAAAGCGGUAAACAAGAUAGAUCCUCAUUUGUUCCCACACGUCCAUCAGGAGGAACUAAAAAAGACCCAGAGAGUUCCCUCAGCCUUUCUAUCCCGUGAGGACACAGUAAGACGACACCAGGUCCUCACCUUCACCCCAUCUGCUGCUGCCACAAUCUUGGACUUCCAGCCACCAAGAGAAAUAAAUGUCUGUUAUUUAU
Long non-coding RNA from Mustela erminea (ermine), 1049 nucleotides. RefSeq lists it as uncharacterized. The transcript has 6 exons. Lineage: Eukaryota; Metazoa; Chordata; Mammalia; Carnivora; Mustelidae. The record is from RefSeq and is a predicted model, not a curated record.